RNAcentral lists this ribosomal RNA (254 nucleotides) under uncultured bacterium. RNAcentral's name for it is "partial 16S ribosomal RNA". It matches the Rfam family "Bacterial small subunit ribosomal RNA", at positions 524 to 776 of the family's 1533-position model. The record is from RNAcentral.
CACGUAGGUUGCAAGCGUUGUCCGGAUUUAUUGGGCGUAAAGGGCUAGUAGGCGGCUUAGCAAGUCGGGUGUGAAAACUUCAGGCUUAACCUGGAGCGGCCACUCGAUACUGCUAUGGCUAGAGUCCGGUAGGGGACCACGGAAUUCCUGGUGUAGCGGUGAAAUGCGCAGAUAUCAGGAGGAACACCGGUGGCGAAGGCGGAUCUCUGGGCCUUACCUGACGCUCAGGCGCGACAGCUGGGGGAGCGAACAGG